Molecule: ribosomal RNA, 705 nt
Filed under: uncultured archaeon
Lineage: Archaea
Description: bacterial SSU rRNA
Rfam family: Archaeal small subunit ribosomal RNA
Source: RNAcentral
CUCCUGGGGNUAGCGGUAAAAUGCUGUAAUCCUAGGAGGAGCGCCUGUGGCGAAAGCGCCCGGCUGGAACGGGCUCCGACGGUGAGGGACGAAAGCUAGGGGAGCAAAGCGGAUUAGAUACCCGCGUAGUCCUAGCUGUUAACAAUGCCCGUUUGGUGUAGCGUCUCCCACGUGGAGGCGCUGUGCCGUAGCGUAGGUGUUAAACGGGCCGCCUGGGGAGUACGUCCGCAAGGAUGAAACUUAAGGGAAUUGGCGGGGAAGCACCACAAGCGGUGGGGGCUGCGGUUUAAUUGGAUUCAACGCCAGGAACGUUACCAGCGCUGACAGCAUGAUGAGGGUCACCCUGAAGGGGUUACCUGAAGCGCUGAGAGGUGUUGCAUGGCCAUCGUCAGCUCGUACUGUGAAGCGUCCGGUUAAGUCCGGUAACGAGCAAGACCCACACUCCUAGUUGCUAUCGUGUCCUCCGGGACACGAGCACUCUAGGAGGACCGCCCCCGAUAAGGGGGAGGAAGGUGUGGGCGACGGUAGGUCAGUAUGGCCCGAAUGCGCUGGGCUACACGCGGCCUACAAUGGUCGGGACAGCGGGUUGCGACUCCGAGAGGAGGAGCUAAUCCCAAAACCCGGCCUUAGUUCGGAUCGAGGGCUGAAACUUGCCCUCGUGAAGUCGGAAUCGCGUAGUAAGCGAGAGAUCACCUAUCUCUCGCG